GGGGCCGUAGCUCAGCUGGGAGAGCGUCGCGAUGGCAUUGCGAAGGUCUGGGGUUCGAUCCCCCACGGCUCCACCA
This 76-nucleotide transfer RNA is filed under the name Sphingomonas sp. Its description in RNAcentral is "tRNA-Ala". It matches the Rfam family "tRNA". Rfam says of the family: Transfer RNA (tRNA) molecules are approximately 80 nucleotides in length. Their secondary structure includes four short double-helical elements and three loops (D, anti-codon, and T loops). The record is from RNAcentral. RNAcentral also lists the same sequence under 21 other names. Lineage: Bacteria; Pseudomonadati; Pseudomonadota; Alphaproteobacteria; Sphingomonadales; Sphingomonadaceae.